Long non-coding RNA from Mauremys mutica (yellowpond turtle), 3539 nucleotides. RefSeq lists it as uncharacterized. The record is from RefSeq and is a predicted model, not a curated record. The transcript is spliced from 4 exons. NCBI's taxonomy places the organism in Eukaryota, Metazoa, Chordata, Testudines, Geoemydidae.
CGGCACAAAGCUUGUCACAGUUCAGGUCAUAGCUGAGUGUGAAGCAUUGCCGGGGGAUCAGCAUGUCUAUCUGACCCCGGAGAGAGACUGGGAGAAGGGGCUUUAAACCAUCUGCAGGGAACCAGUGAUGGCAUUAGAACAUCGAUCUGACAUGUUACGGCCCAAACCCUCCUCAAUGUGUCGAUGUAGUUCCUGAAACAGACAGAAAACAGAGGCUGACACUGAAGCAAAUCCAGACAAGAUGCAUCAUUAUCCAGACUGCUCGUUAACUGCAGUCUUGAGUGAGCAGCUCCAGCUGUUUGUCAAUAAAACCCAAGCGCUCCUGUCGUUCCUCUCGCAUCUCCAGGCAGUAAACCCUGAGAAAAGAAGGUGCCUAUCAGAAAGAAGCAUCCGCACAUCUCUGAUCUUCAAGCUAAAUGGAAUCCCAGAGACUGUGAGAUGCAUUCCUGUGCAUACAGAGGCAGCCAUCAGAAAAUCAGCAGCGACCAGAGGCAUUAACAUAGACCUCUCUUCUGCAUCAUUUACUGUCAACAGCCCAAAGUUACAGGCUCCAUUCUUUUCCACCCCCUCAAGAGGACUGUAGUGCUCACCUCAAAUCGUCUCUCGAAGUUUUGAAACUCAAACAUUCUUACUUGAAAUCCUUCUGCCAAUGCUCCACCUAGGGCAAGGUGGAGGACACAAGGUUACCAGGGCAAAUUUACAGAAAGUGAACAGAGAAUUUGAAGCACCAGCAGGAAAGGCAGAAACAUCUCUGGGGCUGGUUCUACUGACCUGCCAGAUACCCUCUUGUUUAAUUUUGGCUUCUCUUCACUCCCCCACUUUUUAGUUAAAUCACCAAUUGAUUAUUUGAGAUAAGACAAUCUUUACCUUCCCGCACAAAUGAAAUGAAAGACAGAGCUGGUAGUUUUCCUACCUCCUUCCGGCAUCCCUUGAGCUUUCUGGAUCCUGGCAUUUAGCACUUCCUUCGCUGACACAAAGAAGAUGCGGUCCCCAGCCUGCGCUCGAUCCACCACACCCAGUUCAUCCACUAGAAAACUGGUGCAGCGCUCCAUGUGCUGUCGACGGACCUGAAGGAUAAACCCACCCAGACACACUGUUUUAAAGUCUGCUUGAUAGUCCACACCAUUGCAUUCAACAGGAUCAGGCAACCAGAUGCCCCCUGCAGGCCCUAUAUAGCAAUACAAGUCUACAAUAAAAAUAUUUUGCUCUUUUAUAGCUCCUUUGUGGGUCUCAAAGCACUUUUCAUACAUUAAGCCUCACAAAACCCCUGUGGGAUAGUUGAAUACUCUAACCAUUUACAAAUACAUAAACUGAGGCAUGAAGAUAUUAAGUGAUCUGUCACAGGUCCCCAAAAAUGUCAGUGACAAUAACCAUUAGACCAUACUGUCUGCCAGAUGACUCCUCAUUAUGGUAAGCAAAGUCCAGACUGUAAGAGAAUCAUCCUCUCUUACCGCUAGCCACUCCUCGGCUCACAGAACGGAUCCCAGUUUGAGUGAACACCAAUUUAAAUAUGGCACAAACCUCUUCCAUGUAUUCAGGUUCUGAAGCUGAUGCAUCCCAGCGGUUAUUCAGGAUAAAAAUGUUGGGGCGAGACAGACGCUCGUUCACUUUGUGGAAGAACUGCUUCUCCUAAACAAGGAAAUCACAUAUCGAUAUGCAAAAUGUCAAAGCAUUUACCCCAAACCAGCAAGCAUUUACAAGUGGAAUUCGAGUUACCGUUUGCAUCAGCGUGGACUCAGAGUUUGCCACCAACACAAAUACAUCAGCAUCCAGACAAAACUUGUCAAUCCAGCUGUCCAGUUCUGUGGUUACAUCAAUGCCAGGGCUACAGAUAACAGAAAAACAUGUCACGAGAGCUGUGAAACUUCAAAAAUACAAUUAGUCAUUCUCCAAAGAAGAAGAAGAAAGCAGCACAUUACAUUUUCUUACAAAAGAUGCUUUCAAAAGGUGUAGCUGCUCAGCGCAGCUAAUGUCCAUACUUGAGCUACACUGUGUUCUGGGGCUAUUUAGUUCAGGAAAUGAAGGAAUUAUUAAGUGGCACUCCAUCUGCAUUUCUCAGCUCUGCUUCCAGGUCACUUCACAUCAGAGUCUCUGUACAGGAAGAGUGAAAUCUCUCACCUGUCCAUAAGCACUAGAUCAUCCUUUAAGAGAGGACAUUUGGAAUUGGGCCACAUCACACUGACCAGGCUGCCAGCAUUCAGAAAUUCAUUUUGAUGGAGAGCAUGAGCCAGUUGGUUGACUGUCUGUCAAAGGGAAGGGAGGGAGCAAGAAAAGAUCGACAGGAGUAUGUUAUUAAUGUCUGAUAACUGCUAGAAUAAUUAUCUCCCCGCCCUGAAAUAUUCACAGACAAGAAUAAGUCAAGACCCAAAUGAGAGUUAUUUUCUCCCUUUUCUGAAAAAGGGGCUGCCCCAUAAAACUGCACACAUGUCCCUGCUGAGAAAGAGCUCCAUUUAUUAGGAACUACUCAAGGGCAGGAUUCCUCAACACAUUACUGAGAUUACCCUUAUCAAGAGAAAAUUCCUUUCUGAAAUCUCUUAGAUUGGGUCAAAGUCCAUCAUCAUCAUAUACUACUUAGGAACUUACCUUGACACUCCUCUUCUCCUCUGAGCCUUCAGUAAGUAGGAAGGCAUCGUGACCAUCCGUCCCCUCCACACGCAGGAAACAAUUAGUGGUGUGUCCAAUGCCUGAGGGAAGGACUUUAUCCCACAGCAUGGCAUUUAUCACUGUGCUUUUUCCAUUGCUUGUCCUGGGGUUAAAUGCAGAGUGAGUCAUUGGGGCUCUCAAGACACAGCUGUGCUCUUUGCAUAUUACAGCCACUCAAAUCUCAAUGUCCCAAUCAGAUCCAGAAAGUGGUAGGUCAUGUAUUAGAAGCAUUCUAUCGGUAUAGGAAUACUGAAAUACUACACCAGAAGAGCAUUCCUAAUGUGGGUGUUUUGUUCAGUAUAGAUUAUUCUAUCUCCCCUGAGCAAAACAAGCCAUACCACUAAUGGUGCAGUUUUGCUGGUGUGUCUGAGUGUAUUCUUGGGGCUUUUGCCAGCUCAGAUAUGUUGAUCGGCGAUCACACCUCUUCACGCUGUCAGAACUGUGCCAGAAGCAGCCCCUCAGUGUAAAUACGACCGUAGUGCAUUAGCUGCCAUAUGCAACUUGCUGGUCAAUCAGUACUAAAAGGAUUUAUUUGGGCAUAAGCUUUCGUGGGCUAGAACCCACUUCUAAACAGAGUGAGGGAUUCUAAACGAAAGUGAGAGAAUACCAAUGAUGAUCAGACUUUUACAUUUCAGAGUCUGGACAGUUUGUGUUCCUAUAAAUACUUUUCACUGGCCAUGAUCCUAAAGAUCCCAGUUGCUUCAUUGAGACGAGUCUAGGCAACACAAUUAUCCAACUCACCUGCCAAAAAAAGCCACUUUCAUGUGUCGCCGUGCCAGCACCUCACUAAUGCCACUGACUUUUGACAGGUAUCCUUUGACCUCCAAUACCUGCUCUUCUGUGGUGACAGGGUCAAGUUCCACAUUCCUGUGUGUUUCUAAAAUGCAAAUAAAUUG